AAAAUAAAUGAAUUGGGUAGAUUGAAAAUGUACCAAUAAACAUUUUUUUACAUUUUCAACUUAAUGUUCCAUUUAUAUGGGAUAAAGAGAAAACUUCCGUCAUUCUACAUCAGCUGUAUAACCUAUGAAUACACCAAUGUACACUUGGAGAUUUAUCAAAAUUUCACUUCUAUCAUGAACACUGCUUUUUUCUAAAAUCAUCAGAUAACAAUGUCUGAAACAGUUGUUGCAACCUCUCAGCACCUGGACCUGGCCUAAACACUGAAUAAUUUCCACGCACAGAGCAUGGAUCAGCACCAUCAUCUGAGCUGCCAAUACACCAUGCUCCAGGUGCAAACCGGCUUGUGCGACCUAGAAGCUCUUUGUCAAUCUUGUCUAAAACCGGAUCAUCCCUUGCAAAUUUACGAGCAAAUGGUGCCUUGCUUUUAACCAUUUUGUCGAAGUCUUUCAUGGUCAAAGAGAUAGGAUGCUGCUUUGGAGGAGUGUCCCAAGCAAUGUAGUGAAGAUCAUGGCCUAUUGCUGUGUUUCGGAAUUCUUCUGUGUUGCAAAUAAGAGUAUGGAAGUAUCCUUCUGGAGAGGAGAUGAAAUUUGUGUAGUACAUUAAGAGAGUUCGUGGGAGGUUAUUCCAUCCCAUUAUAGAGUAUUCUAAAAAGGAUCGGGUUAGCAUUACCCAUGCUGAACCUGCACACCAGAAGCAAGCAAAGAAAAAAAAUGCAUAAAUUUAUCUCAAAACCAACAAUGAAAAAAAACACAAAGAAGUAAAUAAUGGCAGGCAAACAUCCACUUGUCCACAUAUAGCUCUCAUACCAUACAGAAAGAAUACCCAUACCAAUAUUUGUAACCCAGGUUAUCCAACUUAGAAGAGAUCCUAACUACACUUUUCAGAUAAAAAGUAAAGAAAGACACUUUCACACACCAGACACCCCCCAAAUAGUAGUAAUUGACUACACAACUAAAUUAUGCAGCACGCAAUUCUGAGAACAUGACAAAAACACAACAUAACAAUUAUGGCAUGUAUAAUUCAUCCUCUCACGUCAUCUCCGUGAAAUGGCAAGAUAGUAGAAAUUAAGUCCCCAGCAUGCCUAACCAUGGGCAUGGUAAAACACUGAAUGGGACAUUUACGAGAGAACUGCCAUUGCAAAUUUUAUUUUUGCAUGUGUUGACGUUACAUUUGGAAUCCUCAUGAAUUAAUAGCUGUUUAUGUUCAUUCCAGAAACACACAAAGGGCAAACAGGAGAGUGGGAAGCACGUGAUUUUCAUUUUAUGCUAUGGAGAAUUUUCUAGCUUAUAUAAACAAAAGCAAGCAACUCUGCAAAGAUGCAAAAAUUAGCCUGCACUUGCAUGAUUGCAUAAAAACUACAGGAUUACCAUAUAGUGUGUGCUCAAAGAAGUAACGAUUCUAGAUCGAUUUGCAUACCAGUAAACAACUUGAAAGAAGUGGGAAGUGAACGACGUUGAGAAGUCAAAGCAAGGUCAUAUUUCUUUGAUAAGUAAAGGCCUGGAUCAAUGAUAAUUGGUUUUGCCCUUUGGUUCCUGCAGAAAGUUGGAAAAAUGCAGUAUGCUCAAAUUCAUUUUUUUUUCCCAUUAAAAAGAAGGGAACAAGCAUCUUCUAGCGAAGUAACAUAGGAGUUCUCUAUUUUUCACUUACAGUUUCCAUCCAGUAAUCUUCGUAUGUUCAAUGAAGUUUAGAUUUCUAGACAUAUUUGAGAAUACAAGAAGCAAAUCUGAUAACAUUAUGGUUUACCCAUUCCAGAUUAAACCUUAGAGAAUAUGUCUUUGGCUGGACCUACAUAUCCAACCUCCAAAAUGGAAGUCACAAAUCAAUAAUAUAUAAAAGUGAGUGGAAUCACAAAUUAAUAGCUAAUAGGUGACAGCAAUAUUUAUAAAUGAAUAUACAGGAAAAGUUCUCCAGAGUGUAACCAGUCACAAUGAGCAUGUUAAGAUGCAUUCAUAAGAUCAAACAUCAUAAACUCCUUCGAUAAUAAAAGAAUAUCAUAAUAACAGAAGAGAAACAACAAUAAUGUAGCAUUCAAUAUUAACCAUCUUGUGUCACAAGAGGAUAAUCCGAAGCACUGAGGUUAAUGAACCAAUCCCACUCCAAGCUCUCCCUCAACAUAAUUGCAAUCGCUUGAAGUGUACACGCUAUCAUAGUUGGCCCCUUAUAGGUCACCAAAUUGGACUGUGCCAUUAUACGUACAUUCCCAACUUCUAGAAAUGUCGGAUCAUCCUUCACAGAUAUCCCCAACUCCAACCUUUCACGGGGCGGCGCCUCAAGAUCUAAAUGCAAAAUAUACUGAUUUCUUGGAUGAUACACUGCUUGCAAAGUCCUCAUCAUUCUACGACUAUCGCCCUUUGUCCCUGAGAUGAGAUAAGCUAAUCUAGGGGCCUCCAAUUUUGAAUAACCACUUGUGUUAAACGACUUGUUUAAUUCGGAUUCAACGAAAUACCCACUGGCGUCCUCUGAUCUUGAAAAUGAAAUAAUGUCAAAUGGCAACUGAUCUCCCCCAUAAGAAGAGGUAAAUAGCCCAAAAGUAGCUGACAGAAAUAGAGUCAAAGAUACAAGGAGGCUUGCAAAAAAUGGAAUAAGCCAUUUUCUAUCACUAAACACCCUUCCUGAGUGGGAAUUGGCAUUUUUUCUCAUACUCAUUAAUCGGUUUUUCAUGGACAGCAAUUCCCUCUAGCUGAAAACUCGGAGGUGUACGAACUAGCUCAGAAAACCGAAAAUGCUAGCAAGCAAAGUGGAACCCAGCAAUCUAGUUAAGAGAGAAGAGGCAAAGAGAAGAAAGGAGGUUCUGUAACUGAACCAAAGCCUCCUUUUUAGGUAUUCGAAUAACAUCCAAGCUAAGACUUUGAAGCAAAGAUGCGUAAAUAGGGAAUAGAAUACAUACCAAUAACCAAAACCCAAGAGCAGAAAUGUCCCCAGUAACAAAUAAAAAAAGAUUUCGUCUUUAAUUUGCUAAUGAAGGAGAGUUUAAAAGAAAAGGCUGAAAAUAGCUAGUUCAGUGGAGGAAAGACAUUUACAGGCGAUAAAAGCACAUAAAUUUGACUUUCAAUUUUGAAAAUCUAUAAGCAGCUCGGAUUAGCGUGCAAUAAAUAGAAAGUGUAUUUUGCUCUAAACUAUCCCAGAUCUAAAGCUAAUUGAAAGAGGCAAAGAGCAGAUAGAGAGAAAGAAAAAGGGUAAACAAAAGAAAAAUGUAUGCUUAGAGUGGAAGUUUCAGAAACUUAGAAAAGAAGAGUGUUGUAGUAAUGAAAAACAAUAAUAAAUGGUUAAUAUUUCUAUAAAAGGAAGGAAAUGCUUAAUUAA
This 3304-nucleotide unclassified non-coding RNA is filed under the name Hevea brasiliensis (rubber tree). Lineage: Eukaryota; Viridiplantae; Streptophyta; Magnoliopsida; Malpighiales; Euphorbiaceae. The record is from RNAcentral.